AACUGAUACUACCUGCGGGAACCUGCGGAAGGAUCAUUACUGAUUGCAAAAUCUCUAAACCAUCGCGAACGUUACCCCACGCCGUUGCCUCGGCGGAAAGCCCCUCUGGGGGCCGCCCGCCGGUGGCACUAUAAACUCUUUUUAUUUACUGGCCUCUCUGAGUAUAUAUACAAAUAAGUUAAAACUUUUAACAAUGGAUCUCU
This 203-nucleotide unclassified non-coding RNA is filed under the name soil metagenome. RNAcentral's name for it is "partial contains 5.8S ribosomal RNA, internal transcribed spacer 2, and large subunit ribosomal RNA". The record is from RNAcentral.